GAUGAACGCUGGCGGUAUGCUUAACACAUGCAAGUCGAACGGACUCUUCGGAGUUAGUGGCGGACGGGUGAGUAACGCGUGAGAAUCUGGCUUUGGGUUCGGGACAACCACUGGAAACGGUGGCUAAUACCGGAUGUGUCGAGAGGUAAAAGAGAGAUUGCCUGAAGAUGAGCUCGCGUCUGAUUAGCUAGUUGGUGAGGUAAAGGCUCACCAAGGCAGCGAUCAGUAGCUGGUCUGAGAGGAUGACCAGCCACACUGGGACUGAGACACGGCCCAGACUCCUACGGGAGGCAGCAGUGGGGAAUUUUCCGCAAUGGGCGAAAGCCUGACGGAGCAAUACCGCGUGAGGGAAGAAGGCUCUUGGGUUGUAAACCUCUUUUCUUAGGGAAGAACAAAAUGACGGUACCUAAGGAAUCAGCAUCGGCUAACUCCGUG
Molecule: ribosomal RNA, 435 nt
Filed under: uncultured bacterium
Lineage: Bacteria
Description: partial 16S ribosomal RNA
Rfam family: Bacterial small subunit ribosomal RNA
Source: RNAcentral